GAUGAACGCUGGCGGCGUGCCUAAUACAUGCAAGUCGAGCGAACAGACGAGGAGCUUGCUCCUCUGACGUUAGCGGCGGACGGGUGAGUAACACGUGGAUAACCUACCUAUAAGACUGGGAUAACUUCGGGAAACCGGAGCUAAUACCGGAUAAUAUAUUGAACCGCAUGGUUCAAUAGUGAAAGACGGUUUUGCUGUCACUUAUAGAUGGAUCCGCGCCGCAUUAGCUAGUUGGUAAGGUAACGGCUUACCAAGGCAACGAUGCGUAGCCGACCUGAGAGGGUGAUCGGACAAACUGGAACUGAGGGACGGUCCAGACUCCUACGGGAGACAGCAGUGGGGAAUCUUCCGCAAUGGGCGAAAGCUUGACGGAGCAACGCCGCGUGAGUGAUGAAGGUCUUCGGAUCGUAAAACUCUGUUAUUAGGGAAGAACAAAUGUGUAAGUAACUAUGCACGUCUUGACGGUACCUAAUCAGAAAGCCACGGCUAACUACGUG
RNAcentral lists this ribosomal RNA (497 nucleotides) under uncultured bacterium. RNAcentral's name for it is "partial 16S ribosomal RNA". It matches the Rfam family "Bacterial small subunit ribosomal RNA", at positions 28 to 507 of the family's 1533-position model. The record is from RNAcentral.